UCCUACGGGAGGCAGCAGUGGGGAAUAUUGGACAAUGGGGGCAACCCUGAUCCAGCAAUUCUGUGUGCACGAAGAAGGUUUUCGGAUUGUAAAGUGCUUUCAGCAGGGAAGAAGAAAGUGACGGUACCUGCAGAAGAAGCGACGGCUAAAUACGUGCCAGCAGCCGCGGUAAUACGUAUGUCGCAAGCGUUAUCCGGAAUUAUUGGGCAUAAAGGGCAUCUAGGCGGCCAGACAAGUCUGGGGUGAAAACUUGCGGCUCAACCGCAAGCCUGCCCUGGAAACUGUUUGGCUAGAGUGCUGGAGAGGUGGACGGAACUGCACGAGUAGAGGUGAAAUUCGUAGAUAUGUGCAGGAAUGCCGAUGAUGAAGAUAGUUCACUGGACGGUAACUGACGCUGAAGUGCGAAAGCUGGGGGAGCGAACAGGAUUAGAUACCCUGGUAGUCCCAGCCGUAAACGAUGAUUACUGGGUGUGGGCAUGAAGAGUGUCCGUGCCGAAGCUAAUGCGAUAAGUAAUCCGCCUGGGGAGUACGGCCGCAAGGCUGACACUCAAAGGAAUUGACGGGGGCCCGCACAAG
This 576-nucleotide ribosomal RNA is filed under the name uncultured bacterium. Its description in RNAcentral is "bacterial SSU rRNA". It matches the Rfam family "Bacterial small subunit ribosomal RNA", at positions 337 to 929 of the family's 1533-position model. The record is from RNAcentral.